ACACGACUACAUUAGAUACCCGCGUAGUCCUAGCCGUAAACGAUACUCGCUAGGUGUCGGCCACGGUGCGACCGUUGUCGGUGCCGUAGGGAAGCCGUGAAGCGAGCCACCUGGGAAGUACGGCCGCAAGGCUGAAACUUAAAGGAAUUGGCGGGGAGCACCACAACGGGUGGAGCCUGCGGUUUAAUUGGACUCAACGCCGGGAAGCUCACCGGAUAAGACAGCGGAAUGAUUGCCGGGCUGAAGACCCUGCAUGACCAGCUG
RNAcentral lists this ribosomal RNA (264 nucleotides) under uncultured archaeon. Its description in RNAcentral is "partial 16S ribosomal RNA". It matches the Rfam family "Archaeal small subunit ribosomal RNA", at positions 717 to 982 of the family's 1478-position model. The record is from RNAcentral.